RNAcentral lists this ribosomal RNA (301 nucleotides) under uncultured bacterium. Its description in RNAcentral is "partial 16S ribosomal RNA". It matches the Rfam family "Bacterial small subunit ribosomal RNA", at positions 512 to 810 of the family's 1533-position model. The record is from RNAcentral.
CAGCCGCGGUAAUACGGAGGGUGCAAGCGUUAAUCGGAAUUACUGGGCGUAAAGCGCACGCAGGCGGUCUGACAAGUCAGAUGUGAAAUCCCCGGGCUUAACCUGGGAACUGCAUUUGAAACUGUCAGGCUGGAGUCUUGUAGAGGGGGGUGGAAUUCCAGGUGUAGCGGUGAAAUGCGUAGAGAUCUGGAGGAAUACCGGUGGCGAAGGCGGCCCCCUGGACAAAGACUGACGCUCAGGUGCAAAAGCGUGGGGAGCAAACAGGAUUAGAUACCCCGGUAGUCCCUGUCUCUUAUACACA